AAAGGAUGAAACGAAACAGAGAGCAGGGGAAAGAAAGAAGGAAGGAAAAAAAGAAAGAAGGAAAAAGGGGAAAAAUUGGGAUUUCAAGGCUUGAAAGUUAAAUAUGUAAGUCAAUUUAGCCAUUUUACUUAAUUUUGAUGUUUUGGAAGCUUUGGGACAAGGUUUUGAUGAAAUUAAUGAAUUUUUUGAAAGUUAUUAGAUUUUUAAAUAUUGUUCAUGUUGAAUAAAAAGAUGAAUUAGGGGUUAGAUUGACAGGAAUUCAAGUUAGAAAUGAAAUAAGGAUUGAAUUGUAAAUUAAUUCAUAAGUUUUAUUUUGUAGGGACUAAAUUGAUGAAAUUUCAAAAUUAGGAAAAUAUGCUGGAAAUUUAAUAGUUAAAUAUGAGUUUAGUUAAAAAUUGAGUAGAAAUAAAGUAUGAAUUAAGAUAGAAAAGUAAGUGAAUUGGUUAGGAUUAAAUUGAAAUUAAAAGUAGAAAAUCAACAUUUU
RNAcentral lists this long non-coding RNA (484 nucleotides) under Gossypium barbadense (sea-island cotton). RNAcentral's name for it is "long non-coding RNA (GBAR_LNC004490)". Lineage: Eukaryota; Viridiplantae; Streptophyta; Magnoliopsida; Malvales; Malvaceae. The record is from RNAcentral.